GUUCUUUUGUGGAAAAUUUAAGGUCUAGCCUGCUCAAUGAAAUAAUUAAAUAGCCGCAGUAUUUUGACUGUGCUAAGGUAGCAUAAUCAUUAGUUUUUUAAUUGAAAACUGGAAUGAAUGGUUGGAUGAAAAAAUAACUGUCUUUAAUUAAUUAAUUAAAAUUUUAUUUUUAAGUUCAAAAGCUUAAAUGAAUUUUAAAGACGAGAAGACCCUAUAGAAUUUGAUUUAAUUUUUAAAUUUAAAUUUAAGUAUUGAUUUUUAAAUUUAUUAUUAUAUUUUAUUGGGGUGAUAGAAAAAUUUAAAUAACUUUUUACUAAUUUUACAUAUCUUUAUGGUUAGUUGAUCCAAAUUUUUUGAUUAUAAGAAAAAUUACCUUAGGGAUAACAGCGUAAUUUUAUUGGAGAGUUCUUAUUAAUAAUAAAGAUUGCGACCUCGAUGUUGGAUUAAAAUUAAUUAUUGGUGCAGAAGCUAAUAAAUUAAGUCUGUUCGACUUUUAAAAUUUUACA
Molecule: ribosomal RNA, 506 nt
Filed under: Diphaltica sp. BMNH#704453
Lineage: Eukaryota; Metazoa; Arthropoda; Insecta; Coleoptera; Chrysomelidae
Description: partial 16S ribosomal RNA
Rfam family: Bacterial large subunit ribosomal RNA (bases 380-506)
Source: RNAcentral